RNAcentral lists this ribosomal RNA (253 nucleotides) under uncultured bacterium. RNAcentral's name for it is "partial 16S ribosomal RNA". It matches the Rfam family "Bacterial small subunit ribosomal RNA", at positions 524 to 776 of the family's 1533-position model. The record is from RNAcentral.
UACGGGGGGUGCGAGCGUUGUCCGGAAUCACUGGGCGUAAAGGGCGCGUAGGUGGCCUGAUAAGGGUGUGGUGAAAGUCCGGGGCUUAACCCCGGAUCUGCCGUGCCGACUGUUAGGCUAGAGUGCUGUAGGGGCAGGCGGAAUUCCGGGUGUAGCGGUGGAAUGCGUAGAGAUCCGGAGGAGGACCGGUGGCGAAGGCGGCCUGCUGGGCAGAUACUGACACUGAGGCGCGACAGCGUGGGGAGCAAACAGG